Molecule: long non-coding RNA, 1210 nt
Organism: Branchiostoma belcheri (Belcher's lancelet)
Lineage: Eukaryota; Metazoa; Chordata; Leptocardii; Amphioxiformes; Branchiostomatidae
Exons: 3
Source: RefSeq, a predicted model, not a curated record
CCACACCGGCGUCUACUCCAGUAAGCCAAACAGCCAGGCUGGGUCCCCCAGUGGUGAUCACCAAUCGCCAAUCACCAAUCGUGUCCAGCACAGCAAGUGACGGAACAACCCAGCAUGCCACCCAAGUCCCAACGGAGGAGAGAACAUUUCAAGACCCACGCGCAGGCCAAGUACUGAGCACGGGUGAAAAACUGACGACAGGAAUGCUGGCUGCAAUGGGCGUCCUGGCUCUACUGUGCAUAGGUCUGGGAGUCUGCGCACUGUCAGCGAAAUCCAACGAGAGCAUAACUAAGGUACACCCCAUUGGUGGAAACAAAACAUUGGUCUCCAAUGACAAUGGAGGGGUUGUCGCCAUUACGUAGAUACUGUAACAGUCUACGAUAUGAAUGUAUAUUGUAAAUAGAGAACAUUAUAUGAUCCGAUAGUGUACACGGUAUGUUCAUUACCAUAGAAACAUAGCUUGCACCUCUUAGGUACCAACGUCAGAGGUUGAAAGGUUACACAGAGGGAUAUGCAGAGAUGCAAUUGCACAUCAAAAGAAGCGGUUUUAUGUAUCAAAUCUUAAGUCAGACCUCCACUGUUUACGGACACCAAUUCAGACCUGGUAUUGACUGCACGGUAUACGCUUGUGAACCAUGGCAUAGUCACGCUGUUCACGUGUCAGGUAAAAUGACGUCACACUGCACCUUUCCGCCAAGCUAAGUUGUUUACUAGUGUAGGAUUCUUGAAUGCAAAAGACGGGGGUAUAUUCCUGUAUAUUCCUGUGGCUGUACCGCCUGCCUUGGUGUGCUAAUAGGCCUCGCUUAAUAUAUCCAUUUAAUUGAAAUGUAAUGUUAUGUAUCGAAUAUUGUAUUAUAUUCGCAUGCACUUGUAUGACCUUGUCGGCAUGGUAGCUUUGAAAAGGUGUACUUAUGUCCACCUGUUCCACCAUGCCUUCCAUGUAUGUGUGUAGAAUUGUAAUAAAUGAAUAAAUUCCUCGUUGGUCUUAUACACUUCUAUACUUGUAUAUAUUAAACAACUCUUGAGCAAGGAAAACAAUAUGACUCUCAUUAUAUCUGGUAUGUCUUUAGAAUGUCAGAGAUGUAACCAGCAUAUGAACCAGAUGCGAGUACGUUAUGAAAUAUCGUUGUUUCUUCCUGAAUAUAAUGGUUUGCUCUUUGAUUGAUAAUUUGAUGAUAUGUCUACGACUGAAUGCCGACCAUCAAUAAAC